RNAcentral lists this ribosomal RNA (497 nucleotides) under uncultured bacterium. Its description in RNAcentral is "partial 16S ribosomal RNA". It matches the Rfam family "Bacterial small subunit ribosomal RNA", at positions 28 to 507 of the family's 1533-position model. The record is from RNAcentral.
GAUGAACGCUGGCGGCGUGCCUAAUACAUGCAAGUCGAGCGAACAGACGAGGAGCUUGCUCCUCUGACGUUAGCGGCGGACGGGUGAGUAACACGUGGAUAACCUACCUAUAAGACUGGGAUAACUUUGGGAAACCGGAGCUAAUACCGGAUAAUAUAUUGAACCGCAUGGUUCAAUAGUGAAAGACGGUUUUGCUGUCACUUAUAGAUGGAUCCGCGCCGCAUUAGCUAGUUGGUAAGGUAACGGCUUACCAAGGCGACGAUGCGUAGCCGACCUGAGAGGGUGAUCGGCCACACUGGAACUGAGACACGGUCCAGACUCCUACGGGAGGCAGCAGUAGGGAAUCUUCCGCAAUGGGCGAAAGCCUGACGGAGCAACGCCGCGGGAGUGAUGAAGGUCUUCGGAUCGUAAAACUCUGUUAUUAGGGAAGAACAAAUGUGUAAGUAACUAUGCACGUCUUGACGGUACCUAAUCAGAAAGCCACGGCUAACUACGUG